Long non-coding RNA from Carica papaya (papaya), 3322 nucleotides. RefSeq lists it as uncharacterized. NCBI's taxonomy places the organism in Eukaryota, Viridiplantae, Streptophyta, Magnoliopsida, Brassicales, Caricaceae. The record is from RefSeq and is a predicted model, not a curated record.
GCUGGGCAUCGAAUUGACACCACCAAGCUGAAAGCUUGUGGUGGAGUUCUAACCACCUUGCUGUGGAGACUGAACCUGCCAGCUGUCGCAACCCAGCUCUUCCCUUAAGCUGCUGCUGGCCACUUUGAUGCAUCAAGGGCCCCAGUUGCUUGCAUGCAAUCAGGCGGCCUUGAUCUUUCCAUGGAGAGAAUUUAAAAGCCACUUAAUGUGUCAUUCUUCUUCUUCAUUUCCUCCAUUGAACCAUUCAGUAAACAGAGAGAACAAAGAGAGAAAAGAAGCAAACGAGAGAGAAGAAAAGAUAACAGACCCAUGAGGUGAACUAGAGAGAAGAAAAGAUAGCAGACCCGAGAGGAAGUGAAGCAGACUUGCUUCGUGUGGCAUCUUCAUCCUCUCACAGUUUCUCUAAUCGUUUCGUAGACUAAAGAACGUUAAAAAUUACGAAAUUUGGUGAGUGUUUAUGGUUAUAUCUUAGCUAAGUUUCAGCAAAAACAGAGGACUAAAAGCUUUCUCCUUGAAGGAGAUAUCCAAGGACGAACACCAAUAGCUCAGAAUCAAGAAUCAGGGCAAACAGAUUAUCCUAGAAGGAGAAAAAAUUCCCCAACCACCGACUGAUCCUGCAUGCAACUUCGGUUUACUAACGAAUCCGUGUUUAUAUUUCUUCAAAGAGACUUUGGAGCUAGAGAGGGAUUCUUGGAAGUUGUCUUCUGAUCUUUUGUAUUUUGUAUUUUAGAGGCUCGUGGGAUUGACAUGAGGAAGUAGGGAUGAUUAUAUUUCAGAGUAUGACACGAGGAAGAGAGGAAUCUGUUGAACGUCUUGAUGAGGGUCCCGCCAGGGCUGAGUUCCUCAAAACGAUUCAUAGUUGUCCAGAGUAUGGUUGGUACCAUGACCCAGUUAGUUUAGUUGCAUCAUAAUGAUGAUCAUCUCUGUCCUGAAGAUCAUAUUCGCUGCAACCGGACCAUUGCAGUGAUAUCUUAGAUUUCCAUAAGCUCAAUUCUUUCCAUUUUGAGGGCGGUACUAACUCGAUGAUCGUCAAGCGUUAGGGGAUGCAAAUUGAGAAGAUUUUCUCUGUCUUAGAGAUGACUGAGAAGCAGAAAGUUCCUCUUGUUGCUUUUGUCCUGAUUGGAGAAGUAGAACAUUAGUGGAGGCUGAAGAGAGAUCUGUUGCCUACUCCUACUAUUUGGGCACACUUUUUGGAGGCUUUCUACCAGAACAUUUUUCCUACUUGGGUUUGCGAGAAAAAAGAAGUGUUCUAAGAUCUCCGCCAGGGAGGUCUUUUUGUGAGCCACUAUGCAGCUCGUUUCAUUCAUUUAUCUUAGUUUGAACCAUAGUUGGUCUUUACUGAGGCCAGAGAGCUAAACAUUUCCUCAAGAUUGAGGGCAGAUAUCUAAGAUAAGGUGCCCAUGCUUAGGCUAACCACUUAUGCCUUAGUCCUUGAGCAUGCUCAUCUCGUAUAAGAGCUCCUUUCUGGUAGGUUCCAUCGUACAAACAGUUCUCAAGCUCCUCAUGAUUUGAAGAGUACACAUCCAAUUCAGCACGGUCCUGUGGACAAGUGUCCCCAUGUUUUUCUUGCUUCACCACCACCACUUCCAUCAGGUACUACUUCUGGUCAAGAUCCCGUGGACAUUGUGAGGGUAAGCACGGUGAUCGUCCUUGCUACAAGGUGAACAAUGUUUGCUUUUGGUGUGGCAAGCCUGACCACUAUCCAAAAGACUAUCCUCAGGGAGUUCGUAGACUGCCCACCAAUGGACGUGUUUAUGUUAUGAUAGAGCUUGAUAUUGAGGCUACACCUACAGUCAUUGAAGGUACGCUAUCUAUUUCUGAUUUAUUUGCACACACUUUGAUAUCUUCAGGUGCUAAUGAUUCUUUUGUAUAUGUUGAUUUUGCUAAGAAGUUUUUAAACUAGUAUCCUUAGAUAAGACUUUGUUAGUAGAAACAACCACACGUGAUAUCAUUAUAUCCAAUCUAGUAUACAAAGCUUCUAAAGAUAGAUAGAAAAGGUUGGAGAGAGUGACUUUAUGAAAUUCUCUCCUUUCUAAAGCUGCGAAAGGCGGCCCCCCAGAACAAAGCCCCACCCCUCUUUUCCCCCUUUAAUGAAAGACCCUCGCCUCGCUUCCUAUUCAUUUGUGGGUCGGGACCCGAGGGCCUUUUUUUUUCUCAAGAGGAGAUUUAGAGAAUCAACCAACCGACAAAUCCGUAGCCCGGGUGACUCACAGCCUCCCUCUCGCCCAAAUGAAAUGGGAUGAAUCAAAUCAAUAAGCUUUUUGAUUGAUUCAGGGCGCAGCGAAGCCAAAUUCAAUCAAGGCAAAGGGGGGCUUACUUUUCCUGACGCUGAGUCAUCCUCUUCAAAUUUAGCUAUGCUAAUGGAAGAGGAAAAGUUUGAAGAUGAUAUGGACCCCCAAGAGAUGAGCGAGAACCUCCAAUUGCUUAGGGGUCGCACUCUGUCCCGCUUGGCGGACGAGAUCUUCUCUCCUUUUAUCAUUCUUUCUCCCACACACCUUUUCCCUCUUUGAUAUCUUCAGGUGCUAAUGAUUCUUUUGUAUAUGUUGAUUUUGCUAAGAAGUUUUUAAACUAGUAUCCUUAGAUAAGACUUUGUUAGUAGAAACAACCACACGUGAUAUCAUUAUAUCCAAUCUAGUAUACAAAGCUUGUAGGGUUAAGGAUGUAGGUAGGGAACUAUCUGUGGAUCUUAUACUCCUAGACUUCCUAAAUUUGACGUACUCUUAGGCAUGGACCAAUUAUCCGCCUAUCAUGGCACCUUGAAUUACUUCAACAAAACAGUUGUAUUUAAUCCUCCAAAUGAUAGAUCUUAUAAGAUGUAAUCUAUUUUAAAAAUUAAUAAAUAAUAUUUCUUGCUUUAAUGUCUUUUAAUUUAUUACAAUAAUUUAAUGAUUUGAAAUAUUUUUAGAAAUGUUUAGUCGGUUCAGGAUAUAAAGGUACAUAUGUUAGAAUUUUAAGGAUAUUUGGAUAGUUUCAAAAUUUGGAGACAAAUUUCUUAAGGGGGGUAGAUUGUGACAUCCUGCAUGUAGAAAAAAAUUUUUUUUUAGUACAAGGAGAGGCAAAAGUGAAAAGAAAAUUAAAAAAUUAUCAUGCACAUUCAGGACCAAGAGACACCAAUGAUAUUGUUAGUGAGGAGCUAUUGGAGAUCAUUUGGUACUUAAACAUGAGAGUGGAGACCCAUCGGUAGAGAAAAGCCACCAUUUGCCAAUCAGUCAGCACAUUUAUUUUCUUCGCAAUAGACAUAUUAGAUCCGGACCAGCAAUAACAAGUGCUUGAUUUCACAAACGAGGGCGAGAUGCACAUUAAUGCCGUAUCCUCUUAGUAA